ACGGCGAGUGAAGCGGCAACAGCUCAAAUUUGAAAUCUGGCUCCUUGCGGGUCCGAGUUGUAAUUUGCAGAGGAUGCUUGGGUGACGGGCCCGUCCGAGUCCCUUGGAACAGGGCGCCUUAGAGGGUGAGAGCCCCGUACGGUCGUGUGCCCGGAGCCGUGUGAAGCUCCUUCGACGAGUCGAGUAGUUUGGGAAUGCUGCUCUAAAUGGGAGGUAAAUUUCUUCUAAAGCUAAAUACCGGCCAGAGACCGAUAGCGCACAAGUAGAGUGAUCGAAAGAUGAAAAGCACUUUGAAAAGAGGGUUAAACAGCACGUGAAAUUGUUGAAAGGGAAGGACUUAUGACCAGACUUGUCUCCGCGGUGAUCAUCCGGUGUUCGCACCGGUGCACUCCCCGCGGUCCAGGCCAGCAUCGGCUCUGGCGGGGGGAUAAAGGCGGUGGGAAUGUGGCUCCCUCGGGAGUGUUAUAGCCUGCCGCAGAAUACCCCCGCCGGGACCGAGGUACGCGCUUCUGCAAGGAUGCUGGCGUAAUGGUCAUCAGUCACCCGUCUUGAAAC
This 555-nucleotide ribosomal RNA is filed under the name Polystigma amygdalinum. RNAcentral's name for it is "eukaryotic LSU rRNA". It matches the Rfam family "Eukaryotic large subunit ribosomal RNA", at positions 86 to 660 of the family's 3401-position model. The record is from RNAcentral. Lineage: Eukaryota; Fungi; Ascomycota; Sordariomycetes; Phyllachorales; Phyllachoraceae.